Limulus polyphemus (Atlantic horseshoe crab) is the source of this 1136-nucleotide long non-coding RNA. RefSeq lists it as uncharacterized. The record is from RefSeq and is a predicted model, not a curated record. NCBI's taxonomy places the organism in Eukaryota, Metazoa, Arthropoda, Merostomata, Xiphosura, Limulidae. The transcript has 2 exons.
AGGUUAUAAACAUCCCGUGUAUUCACUUGUUAUAAAAAAUACAGUUAUAAUUACAAGUGGAAAACUUAUUGGUUUCUUGUAUAUUAGAUAACACAAUUAAAGGUCGAAUUGAUCAGGUCAACCAAGUCCUAGAGUUGGAUAACAAAGCCCAGGGAGCAGCAAGGUAUAGUGCCUUGGAUAAAUGGACUGUCCAGUUGGCAACAUUACAUCAAACUAUCAUCAAUAAAAUGGCAUAGAUAGUGUUCACUCCAAGCUAAAACACAUAUUUGUGACCAAACCUGCUUGAAGGAAACCAUACAAGUCUGUGAUCAGUCAUUAUGGCUAGAACUAAGGCCCCAGCAUGCUAGAAAAUACCUUGUACAAUCUCGUGCAGUCAUCAGCGUAAAACAAGGUAGAUAUUACCUGGAGGUGAGUCCUAUCCGAAGAAUUUCUCGGUCCAUUUUAUCUCUCUUGCACUAAAUAAAGCUUUUGUACAAAGUGGUGUUCCUGUUAACCCUACAUUUCUGACCCGCAGCAAGUGAUCCUUUGUAUCUAUCUAUUUGAGUUUUUUUCCUCCCUAAUGUUUAACACGUGCAAGCUAAUGUGUGAAGGAAAUUCAAAACCAAACUCUCUUCUCUGUUUUAAAAUUAAGUAUGAUUUGUUUAUCUUUCUGAGAAACAGACUCUUAGCAUCUGCUUACAUUCUUGUGAAAUAAUAGAAUAUAGUUCAGAAAGCUUCAGAUGUGACUUGAUGAAUGAAACUUGUAUGAUGCUUCAUUUUUAUUGUGUAGGAAUAUUGUAACUUUUAAGAGAUAAAUAAGCUUAUAUAUAUGUCACACUUGAACAAGAAUUAUUUUUGUUUCUUGCACAUUAUUAAACUUAGUCAAAAUUAUCAAUUAGUUAAAAAUAUUUGACAGUUUGUUAGUGAAGCUUCGAGCAGAGUUUUUCAGAUUUAAAAAUGUUAGUGUAAAGAAGUAGAUAGAAAGUUAAUAAAACAGGAAAGUUUGUUCGUGUAUAGACUUUGGUUUGUGUCGUUUCGCAUUGGUAAUUUCUUGUUUAAUUCUUUACAAUAAAGAUGUCAUAUAAUCAUAAAUUAUUUGUUGUAAAUGGUUAAAUAAGAACUGUUUGAAUACUACAGUAUUAUUUUCCAAUGUUUAA